ACGAGAGGCUCAAGUUGACAGACAUCGGCGUAAAGAGUGGUUAGGAAGUUUUUGAAACUAAAGCCGAACGCCCUCAGAACUGUUAUACGUACCCGAGGGUAAGAAGCCCCACUACGAAAGUGGCUUUAUAUCUCCGACCCCACGAAAGCUGCGAAACAAACUGGGAUUAGAUACCCCACUAUG
RNAcentral lists this ribosomal RNA (183 nucleotides) under Oreochromis aureus. Its description in RNAcentral is "partial small subunit ribosomal RNA". The record is from RNAcentral. Lineage: Eukaryota; Metazoa; Chordata; Actinopteri; Cichliformes; Cichlidae.